AGCGAACGCUGGCGGCAGGCCUAACACAUGCAAGUCGAGCGAACUCUUCGGAGUUAGUGGCGGACGGGUGAGUAACACGUGGGAACGUGCCUUUUGGUUCGGAAUAACUCAGGGAAACUUGUGCUAAUACCGAAUGUGCCCUUCGGGGGAAAGAUUUAUCGCCAUUAGAGCGGCCUGCGUCUGAUUAGCUAGUUGGUGAGGUAACGGCUCACCAAGGCGACGAUCAGUAGCUGGUCUGAGAGGAUGACCAGCCACACUGGGACUGAGACACGGCCCAGACUCCUACGGGAGGCAGCAGUGGGGAAUCUUGCGCAAUGGGCGAAAGCCUGACGCAGCCAUGCCGCGUGAAUGAUGAAGGUCUUAGGAUUGUAAAAUUCUUUCACCCGGGACGAUAAUGACGGUACCCGGAGAAGAAGCCCCGGCUAACUUCGUG
This 433-nucleotide ribosomal RNA is filed under the name uncultured bacterium. RNAcentral's name for it is "partial 16S ribosomal RNA". It matches the Rfam family "Bacterial small subunit ribosomal RNA", at positions 29 to 507 of the family's 1533-position model. The record is from RNAcentral.